Molecule: ribosomal RNA, 254 nt
Filed under: uncultured bacterium
Lineage: Bacteria
Description: partial 16S ribosomal RNA
Rfam family: Bacterial small subunit ribosomal RNA
Source: RNAcentral
CACGUAGGGUGCGAGCGUUGUCCGGAAUUAUUGGGCGUAAAGAGCUCGUAGGCGGUGUGUCGCGUCGGCCGUGAAAACCUGCAGCUCAACUGUGGGCUUGCGGUCGAUACGGGCAUCACUGGAGUUCGGCAGGGGAGACUGGAAUUCCUGGUGUAGCGGUGAAAUGCGCAGAUAUCAGGAGGAACACCGGUGGCGAAGGCGGUUCUCUGGGCCUGUACUGACGCUGAGGAACGAAAGCGUGGGGAGCGAACAGG